AGUGAACGCUGGCGGUAGGCCUAACACAUGCAAGUCGAACGGCAGCACAGUAAGAGCUUGCUCUUACGGGUGGCGAGUGGCGGACGGGUGGGGAAUACAUCGGAAUCUACUUUUUCGUGGGGGAUAACGUAGGGAAACUUACGCUAAUACCGCAUACGACCUACGGGUGAAAGCAGGGGAUCUUCGGACCUUGCGCGAUUGAAUGAGCCGAUGUCGGAUUAGCUAGUUGGCGGGGUAAAGGCCCACCAAGGCGACGAUCCGUAGCUGGUCUGAGAGGAUGAUCAGCCACACUGGAACUGAGACACGGUCCAGACUCCUACGGGAGGCAGCAGUGGGGAAUAUUGGACAAUGGGCGCAAGCCUGAUCCAGCCAUACCGCGUGGGUGAAGAAGGCCUUCGGGUUGUAAAGCCCUUUUGUUGGGAAAGAAAAGUAGCAGGUUAAUACCCCGCUGUUCUGACGGUACCCAAAGAAUAAGCACCGGCUAACUUCGUG
RNAcentral lists this ribosomal RNA (492 nucleotides) under uncultured bacterium. RNAcentral describes it as "partial 16S ribosomal RNA". It matches the Rfam family "Bacterial small subunit ribosomal RNA", at positions 29 to 507 of the family's 1533-position model. The record is from RNAcentral.